Neltuma alba is the source of this 1387-nucleotide RNA transcript. It is a transcript of the gene named zinc finger protein WIP2-like, with no coding region annotated. The transcript has 3 exons. The record is from RefSeq and is a predicted model, not a curated record. NCBI's taxonomy places the organism in Eukaryota, Viridiplantae, Streptophyta, Magnoliopsida, Fabales, Fabaceae.
CCCCCCCCCCCCCCCAUCUCUCUCUGACUUACUUUUCUUUUGACCCUUCCAUGGCCGAUCCUUUCUCCAAUUUCUUCUCUCCUCCUCCUCCUUCUGGAUUUUUCCAAUUCAAUCCCAUCCCUUACUAUUAUCCCCCUCCUCCUCCUCCCACCGCUCCUCCGGUAUCAUACCAACACCAUCAUCAUCAUCCUUAUCUCCACAACUUCAUCGCUUCUUCUUCUUCUUCUUCGCCUCCCACUUCCCCACCUCUCAGGGAAGCCCUCCCUCUUCUGAACCUCGACCCCACUAAGCAUGGAUCACAUCAUGAGCCUCAUCAUCAUCAUCACCAGUCUUGCAGUACUUCCAUGGAAGUGGAGGACAGUACUGCUCCUAAGACUAAAGAAGAAGAAGAUGAUGAAGAGGAGGAGGAAGAAGAGGAUGAGAAUAGUGUGACUGUUGCACUCCACAUAGGGCUGCCUAACCCUAGUGCUGCUGAGAUGGCUUCUAUCCUCUCUUCUUCCUCCACUCACGCACAAGAAGCAGCAGCAGAUGGUGAUGCUUUUGUGGAUAACUCUUGCUCUGGACUCUCCAGGAUCAACAAGGGCCAGUACUGGAUCCCUACUCCUACUCAGAUUCUCAUUGGUCCUACCCAGUUCUCUUGCCCUGUUUGCUCCAAAAGCUUCAACCGCUACAACAACAUGCAGAUGCAUAUGUGGGGGCAUGGAUCACAGUACAGAAAAGGGCCAGAAUCUCUGAGAGGUACACAACCAACGGGCAUGCUGAGGCUUCCUUGCUAUUGUUGUGCCCCAGGAUGCAGGAACAACAUUGACCACCCAAGGGCUAAGCCCCUCAAGGAUUUUAGAACCCUUCAGACACACUACAAGAGGAAGCAUGGGAUUAAGCCCUUCAUGUGCAGAAAAUGUGGCAAGGCUUUCGCUGUGAGAGGGGAUUGGAGAACCCAUGAGAAGAACUGCGGGAAGCUUUGGUAUUGUAUUUGUGGCUCUGAUUUCAAACACAAGAGGUCGCUUAAAGAUCAUAUCAAGGCUUUUGGGAGCGGCCAUGCUGCGUAUGGGAUCGCUGGCUUAGAAGAAGAAGAUGAGCCAGCAUCCGAAGUAGAGCAAGAUAAUGAAUCCACCUAGUGAGACAAGCGGCGGACCGAUUCGUGAUUUUGUAUGUGUAUGUGAAUUAUCUUAGAACCUUUUCCAACGGAUCAGCAGGAUUACUAUAGCGAUCAUGGCUUGUAUUGGGAACUAUAUAUAUAAUCAAGUUUCUGAUUGGGCAGGAGCAUAUUACUAAGUAAAUUAUGGCUAAAGCGUUCAUAAUUAUGACAAAGGAGCGGCGCAUACCCCAGAGAAUAUUCAGCUUAAAAUGUAUCCUGUUUUAUUAUAUAUAUUACAUGAUUUUUUUU